CCGUGAUUUCGGUCGGGGGCAGGGGUGGGGCGUUGCUGGCUGUUCAGAGUCUCCUCCCACCAGUUGCAGGGGUGCUGUGGUCACUGCCAGCACUUGUCCCCAGUGCGGGGCUCGGCACCAUGGGGAUGGCAGCAGAGAGCCGACUCCCGCGGUCCGCCAGCUUCGCGGGCUGCAGAAGGCUGUCCCGUGGGCACCGGGGCACCGGCGAUCGGGGCUCAGAGAAACCGGCACGGCAGACUGUGUGUGGCUCCUGGUCCCAUCUUGGAGCCGCAGGAUUCCAACCAACCAGAGGGGUCUGUGGUCCCCCCGGAAGCCGACGCCAGCUGCAGCCACUGCCAACAGUGUGGGUCAUAAGGGAUCAGAAUGUCCUAUAUGUUUGCGAACAUAAUUCGUCCCAGAAACGUGCUUGUGAUCCAAAGCACUCGUGUAUCAAAGCGAAUUUCCCCGUAAGAAAGAACGGAAGCUCAGAUGAUUCGUUCCACAACCCGAAAAUCUUCAUAUGCAAAGGAUUACAA
Long non-coding RNA from Felis catus (domestic cat), 515 nucleotides. RefSeq lists it as uncharacterized. The record is from RefSeq and is a predicted model, not a curated record. Lineage: Eukaryota; Metazoa; Chordata; Mammalia; Carnivora; Felidae. The transcript is spliced from 3 exons.